This 490-nucleotide ribosomal RNA is filed under the name uncultured bacterium. RNAcentral's name for it is "partial 16S ribosomal RNA". It matches the Rfam family "Bacterial small subunit ribosomal RNA", at positions 30 to 507 of the family's 1533-position model. The record is from RNAcentral.
AUUGAACGCUGGCGGCAGGCCUAACACAUGCAAGUCGAACGGUAACAGGAAACAGCUUGCUGUUUCGCUGACGAGUGGCGGACGGGUGAGUAAUGUCUGGGAAACUGCCUGAUGGAGGGGGAUAACUACUGGAAACGGUAGCUAAUACCGCAUAACGUCGCAAGACCAAAGAGGGGGACCCUCGGGCCUCUUGCCAUCGGAUGUGCCCAGAUGGGAUUAGCUUGUUGGUGGGGUAACGGCUCACCAAGGCGACGAUCCCUAGCUGGUCUGAGAGGAUGACGAGCCACAAUGGAACUGAGAAACGGUCCAGACUCCUACGGGAGGCAGCAGUGGGGAAUAUUGCACAAAGGGCGCAAGCCUGAUGCAGCCAUGCCGCGUGUAUGAAGAAGGCCUUCGGGUUGUAAAGUACUUUCAGCGGGGAGGAAGGGAGUAAAGUUAAUACCUUUGCUCAUUGACGUUACCCGCAGAAGAAGCACCGGCUAACUCCGUG